UCCCCUAGUAACUGCGAGUGAAGAGGGAAGAGCUCAAAUUUAAAAUCUGGCAGUGCUUUGCUGUCUGAGUUGUAAUCUAGAGAAGUGCUGCCCGUGCUGGACCAUGUACAAGUCUCCUGGAAUGGAGCGUCAUAGAGGGUGAGAAUCCCGUCUUUGACAUGGACUGCCAGUGCAUUGUGGUGUGCUCUCAAAGAGUCGAGUUGUUUGGGAAUGCAGCUCUAAAUGGGUGGUAAACUCCAUCUAAAGCUAAAUAUUGGCGAGAGACCGAUAGCGAACAAGUACCGUGAGGGAAAGAUGAAAAGAACUUUGGAAAGAGAGUUAAACAGUAUGUGAAAUUGUUGAAAGGGAAACGCUUAAAGUCAGUCAUGUCGGCCAGGGAUCAACUCAGUUUUUUGCUGGGUGUACUUCCUGAUCUGAUGGGCCAACAUCAGUUUUGACUGCUGGAGAAGGGUAGAGGGAAUGUGGCACCUCCGGGUGUGUUAUAGCUCUCUGUCGUAUGCAGUGGUUGGGACUGAGGAAAGCAGCAUGCCGCAAGGCCGGGUUUCGACCACGUUCAUGCUGAGGAUGUUGGCAUAAUGGCUUUAAUCGACCCGUCUUGAAACACGGACCAAGGAGUCUAACAUGCCUGCGAGUGUUUGGGUGGUAAACCCGAGUGCGGAAUGAAAGUGAAAGGNUGAGAUCCCUGUCAUGGGG
This 693-nucleotide ribosomal RNA is filed under the name Amanita sp. RNAcentral describes it as "LSU rRNA". It matches the Rfam family "Eukaryotic large subunit ribosomal RNA", at positions 76 to 754 of the family's 3401-position model. The record is from RNAcentral. Lineage: Eukaryota; Fungi; Basidiomycota; Agaricomycetes; Agaricales; Amanitaceae.